Gopherus evgoodei (Goodes thornscrub tortoise) is the source of this 453-nucleotide RNA transcript. It is a transcript of the gene named rab3 GTPase-activating protein non-catalytic subunit-like, with no coding region annotated. The transcript is spliced from 3 exons. NCBI's taxonomy places the organism in Eukaryota, Metazoa, Chordata, Testudines, Testudinidae. The record is from RefSeq and is a predicted model, not a curated record.
CUGAUCACGUGACCCAUCCCUCAGCCCGCCCCCUUCCCACGCAUGCGCACAGCGGCGCCCUGCUCAGGCCGGUGGGCAAGGCGCCGAGCACUUCCGGCCGGGCGGCGGGCGCUGCGGCUGGCACCAUGUCCUGCUCGCUGCUCCCCUUCUGCCACUUCCAGGACCUGGAGGCGGCCCGCGACUUCCUGUGCCCGUACCUCCGCCAGAGCGGCGCCGCGGCUGCCAGGGAGAGCGGUGGGAUGAAGAAAUGAAGUUUCUUGACACCGUAAAUGGCUACUUCUUGGAGCAGCUAGUCCUGGGACCUACAGUGGGAGAGACAAUUCCUGUGUUCCACAUAGGACUAAAUCAAUGUCUGGUCCAAGAGGUGAAUAUAGCUAAAGCAUGAGUAGAUAAAUCACCAAACUGGGAAGAUGAUGGCUGGGGAGCCUGGGAUGAAGCAGAAACACAAGAACC